This 108-nucleotide non-coding RNA is filed under the name pig gut metagenome. RNAcentral's name for it is "FMN riboswitch (RFN element)". It matches the Rfam family "FMN riboswitch aptamer (RFN element)". Rfam says of the family: The RFN element is a highly conserved domain that is found frequently in the 5'-untranslated regions of prokaryotic mRNAs that encode for flavin mononucleotide (FMN) biosynthesis and transport proteins. The record is from RNAcentral.
UAUCUUUGGGGCAGGGUGAAAUUCCCGACCGGCGGUAACAGUCCGCGAGCGCAAGCUGACAUUGGUGAAAUUCCAAGACCGACAGUAAAGUCUGGAUGGUAAAAGAUA